RNAcentral lists this ribosomal RNA (355 nucleotides) under uncultured bacterium. Its description in RNAcentral is "bacterial SSU rRNA". It matches the Rfam family "Bacterial small subunit ribosomal RNA", at positions 8 to 353 of the family's 1533-position model. The record is from RNAcentral.
AGAGUUUGAUCAUGGNUCAGGAUGAACGCUAGCUACAGGCUUAACACAUGCAAGUCGAGGGGAACGACAUCGAAAGCUUGCUUUUGAUGGUCGUCGACCGGCGCACUGGUGAGUAACGCGUAUCCAACCUGCCCAUCACUUGGGGAUAACCUUGCGAAAGUAAGACUAAUACCCAAUGAUAUCUCUAGAAGACAUCUGAAAGAGAUUAAAGAUUUAUCGGUGAUGGAUGGGGAUGCGUCUGAUUAGCUUGUUGGCGGGGUAACGGCCCACCAAGGCAACGAUCAGUAGGGGUUCUGAGAGGAAGGUCCCCCACAUUGGAACUGAGACACGGUCCAAACUCCUACGGGAGGCAGCA